AUGGGCGCCAGCCUGGNCCCAGCNUCGCCUGCGUUGGNAGGAAGAAGCCCUUCGGGGUGUAAACUCCUGUCACCGGGGACGAAGCUUAUCAGGGUUAAUAGCCCUAAUGAGUGACGGUACCCGGAGAGGAAGGGACGGCUAACUACGUGCCAGCAGCCGCGGUAAUACGUAGGUCCCGAACGUUGCGCGA
RNAcentral lists this ribosomal RNA (190 nucleotides) under uncultured Desulfurobacterium sp. RNAcentral's name for it is "partial 16S ribosomal RNA". It matches the Rfam family "Bacterial small subunit ribosomal RNA", at positions 371 to 548 of the family's 1533-position model. Lineage: Bacteria; Pseudomonadati; Aquificota; Aquificia; Desulfurobacteriales; Desulfurobacteriaceae. The record is from RNAcentral.